Leptonychotes weddellii (Weddell seal) is the source of this 1000-nucleotide long non-coding RNA. RefSeq lists it as uncharacterized. Lineage: Eukaryota; Metazoa; Chordata; Mammalia; Carnivora; Phocidae. The record is from RefSeq and is a predicted model, not a curated record.
CUGCAGUGCUGAUGCUCAGAGGGUCAAUGCACGAUGUGAAUUGAAGAUGGUAGAAGCAUGACAGCUUGGAUCCCUGAAUGACCGUGUGGAGCGGAGGUUUCCGCUGCCCUCAACACAAGCUCUACACUGUGCAUGGAAGUGACCACGUCUGAGCCACCACGUUGGGUCUGUUUGUAGCUGCAGCUUACUCUACCUUGACGCGCUACCUCUGUGCAUUCAGAUGGGGUUACACUGUGAUAAUCACACUUACAUGCCCUUGGACAUUGAAGCCCUUGGAAACAUCUGCACACCCAUGUGCAUCUCAGUCUUGGACACAUCCAAACAGCUCUUGGGAAGUCCCAGAAGUACCCCCACAAUCCAUCACUUUGUGUGCACAGAGGAGAUGACCAGCUGCAUACAGACAGAGAUGUAUGUGCCAGGGCCAUAUUUCUCCUGUGACGAACAGAAGCCCCCUUUCUGACCUAGACCCAGAAGAGGCAGUGACAAUUCUGUGGAUGAGAGCUACUUUCCCAAGACUCUUCAGGUCGCCUAAUUCCACGUACCUAGGAAGGCAAGGAGGUAGCACCUAAUUCCACAUACCUAGGAAGGCAAGGAGGUAGCACCUAAUUCCACAUGCCUAGGAAGGCAAGAAGGUAGCAUGGGGCAAUAGUCCAUGGUGGUAAAAAAACAAUGGAGAUGGGUUUCAGAAGACUCAAAGAAGGAUCACUGUGAAAGGAUCACACGUGUUGGAGGAUCAAAAUCCAGAAUUCUCUGUGGCCACUCUGUCCAAGAUGUGGGAGGUUCUAUGUCUCUGUUAAAUCAAUAUAAUCAACGGAGCGAAGUAAAACUUUCUGGAUAAUACCGGUAGCUUUGAACUUUUUUCUUUCUUCUUCUUCUUCUUUUUCUCACCUGUGUUCCUUUUGAGUUGUGCAACCAUGGCCUUAGAUCAUAAAACCUUGCAUGGCUGAGAAUGGAUGUGUUUAACUGUUUUAUUGAGGGAGAAUAAAGUAUUCAUGUUUGC